UACUGACGCUGAGGUACGAAAGCAUGGGGAGCAAACAGGAUUAGAUACCCUGGUAGUCCAUGCCGUAAACGAUGUCUACUAGCCGUUGGGGCCUUUGAGGCUUUAGUGGCGCAGCUAACGCGAUAAGUAGACCGCCUGGGGAGUACGGUCGCAAGACUAAAACUCAAAUGAAUUGACGGGGGCCCGCACAAGCGGUGGAGCAUGUGGUUUAAUUCGAUGCAACGCGAAGAACCUUACCUGGCCUUGACAUACUAGAAACUUUCCAGAGAUGGAUUGGUGCCUUCGGGAAUCUAGAUACAGGUGCUGCAUGGCUGUCGUCAGCUCGUGUCGUGAGAUGUUGGGUUAAGUCCCGCAACGAGCGCAACCCUUUUCCUUACUUGCCAGCAUUUCGGAUGGGAACUUUAAGGAUACUGCCAGUGACAAACUGGAGGAAGGCGGGGACGACGUCAAGUCAUCAUGGCCCUUACGGCCAGGGCUACACACGUGCUACAAUGGUCGGUACAAAGGGUUGCUACACAGCGAUGUGAUGCUAAUCUCAAAAAGCCGAUCGUAGUCCGGAUUGGAGUCUGCAACUCGACUCCGUGAAGUCGGAAUCGCUAGUAAUCGCGGAUCAGAAUGCCGCGGUGAAUACGUUCCCGGGCCUUGUACACACCGCCCGUCACACCAUGGGAGUUUGUUGCACCAGAAGUAGCUAGCCUAACUGCAAAGAGGGCGGUUACCACGGUGUGGCCGAUGACUGGGGUG
This 744-nucleotide ribosomal RNA is filed under the name Acinetobacter baumannii Naval-81. RNAcentral describes it as "bacterial SSU rRNA". It matches the Rfam family "Bacterial small subunit ribosomal RNA", at positions 738 to 1482 of the family's 1533-position model. Lineage: Bacteria; Pseudomonadati; Pseudomonadota; Gammaproteobacteria; Moraxellales; Moraxellaceae. The record is from RNAcentral.